Mytilus trossulus (common blue mussel) is the source of this 745-nucleotide long non-coding RNA. RefSeq lists it as uncharacterized. The record is from RefSeq and is a predicted model, not a curated record. The transcript is spliced from 3 exons. NCBI's taxonomy places the organism in Eukaryota, Metazoa, Mollusca, Bivalvia, Mytilida, Mytilidae.
ACGAACAUAAAAUUGUUUCCGACUAUACUCAAACCGGGAGUGUUAGGAAAUCCUUUAUAUGUUUUGAAAAUGAUAAAGACAAACGCCCUUGCUUGCUUGCAUUUCAUUGGUAGUGUUCAUUUUAUAAAAUCAGCAGAUCUCUGUUGGUUUUCAUCAUUUAACUGAAGCUUUUGAGGUCGAUUUAAGGAUGCAGUUGACGUUUUUCGCAGGUUUCUUUGUUUUGGCAGUUUUUGUUACACACGUAAAUGGGUGUGCCUUCAUGGUAUGUGAGAACAAGUCUGCAUACAUCAAAUGUCCAUAUCCGUUGACAAUUUCGGUACGAUCAGCAAUAUAUGGGCGGUCCACUGAUUCAUCUGUAUGCCCUGGAAAAGUCAAAACAACUCAUUGCAGUUCAUCAAGGUCAAACAGUAAGGUCAAAGCGCAAUGCAAUGGCAAAAGAUUUUGUUUAUUGAAACCAACCAACCGUCAAUAUGGAGACCCUUGCCGCGGAACACAUAAGUACCUAGAAGUGGAGUUCAAGUGCAUUUAAGAUUUGCGUAACAACUUCAUUGUCACACGCCGUUAGUGUGUUGAAGAAAAAUAAUCCAUGCGUUUUGUUUUGGCAAACUGCUUUUUUUCAAUGUGACCAAACAUUUCAAGAAAAACUGAACUAUUCAACACUUGAUACUUGUUUUUUAAAUCUAUCUUUUGUUAAUCUAUAAUAUUUAUGGAGAACGGCUUGCUAAAAAAAUGUUUUAAUAUCUUG